GAUGAACGCUGGCGGCGUGCUUAACACAUGCAAGUCGAACGGUGAACACGGAGCUUGCUCUGUGGGAUCAGUGGCGAACGGGUGAGUAACACGUGAGCAACCUGCCCCUGACUCUGGGAUAAGCGCUGGAAACGGCGUCUAAUACUGGAUAUGUGACGUGACCGCAUGGUCUGCGUUUGGAAAGAUUUUUCGGUUGGGGAUGGGCUCGCGGCUUAUCAGCUUGUUGGUGAGGUAAUGGCUCACCAAGGCGUCGACGGGUAGCCGGCCUGAGAGGGUGACCGGCCACACUGGGACUGAGACACGGCCCAGACUCCUACGGGAGGCAGCAGUGGGGAAUAUUGCACAAUGGGCGCAAGCCUGAUGCAGCAACGCCGCGUGAGGGAUGACGGCCUUCGGGUUGUAAACCUCUUUUGGCAGGGAAGAAGCGAAAGUGACGGUACCUGCAGAAAAAGCGCCGGCUAACUACGUG
Molecule: ribosomal RNA, 469 nt
Filed under: uncultured bacterium
Lineage: Bacteria
Description: partial 16S ribosomal RNA
Rfam family: Bacterial small subunit ribosomal RNA
Source: RNAcentral